Long non-coding RNA from Cyanistes caeruleus (blue tit), 1155 nucleotides. RefSeq lists it as uncharacterized. The record is from RefSeq and is a predicted model, not a curated record. NCBI's taxonomy places the organism in Eukaryota, Metazoa, Chordata, Aves, Passeriformes, Paridae.
CUUGGCGAAACACCGCCCCGCGCAGUAGCAGGCGGGCUACGAAAGUGCGUAACGUUCUUUACUUAGAGCCGGGGCCCCGCGUGAGAAAGACGGAGAGGAGGAGUAACGCUAUUCCUCAAAGUCAGCUGCGCAAGGAGCGCGCUCCGUAACCCCUUCUGCAGGGCAGGGAACACCCAGGCUGAGGCGCACGUUACGUAAGCGCAAGGCGUACGCAAGGGUGCCACUCACGCAUCUUCCUCAACAAGGCACACACGGCGUUUUUGGAUUGGAUGGCCAAAACCUGUCAGAGAGCUGGAAGAGAAGUGACUUGCCUGGAGUCACAGGACAAGAAAAUGAGGCUGAGUCAUACACAUGACUUAAUCUGCCAUUUUAAAAGGAUGGAAAAGGUGCUUUUUAGGAUAUGAACACUUCUACGAGACAUCUGCACUCUUCUUGGAGACAGUAUUUGGAAAGGAAUUGCCCUUUUUAGCUCGCCUCUGGUAGCACAGUUGGUACAGGACUACAUGUCAAGGAGACAUCACAUCUCCUGCGAGCAGGAGUUCCUGGUUGCCCCUUAUGUGAGCUUGGAAUGGCAGAAGGGAUUGGAGCGGCAUCUCAGCCUGUUUCAAGGGGCUUGUAAAAACUUCCCCAUCCUCUGCCUGUGGGAGGUUAAGGGCACCUUUUCCAAGACAUUUCUUAGCCAAGUCAGGAAACGAAGCAGCACAACCCACGGCCCUGUGCCAUCAGCAGCACACCACAGGAGUGCUCGCGGGGUCUGCAUUCGAAAUACCAAGCAAUUUCUUUAAGUACCAAAAGUCCAAUCCUGGGAGCCCAAGGCUUUGUUUAUACAGAGGAAGUGGCUGGCACAGCUUUUGAAAACCGCAUUAUUCCGCAAGAGCUAUUCCAGUAGAGCACUUAGGCAGACAGCCCUUUAAAGGCGAGUUCCUUCACAAAGUAUGCUUUUAUUCCAGAACAGAAUGUACAUGCAGAGGGUGACCCUUCUGGUGCUGCUAAGCAGCUCUGCAGCAGAUAAUACCUCACUCUGUGUAUCCCUUCAUGAUCCUUUUAGAUUGUAAAAUGGUUCUCAGAAAGGUCAAUGAAUGCACAGAAUCUUAAGACCAUUUCCCACUCCGAAAAGCUACUUUGGGCAAUAAAUUGCAUUCUACAGCUUCAAAA